UCCCUGGAGGACUAGUGGUUAGGCCACAUCGCUCUCACCGCUGCGGCCCGGUUUGAUUCCCAGCCAGGGUG
Molecule: transfer RNA, 71 nt
Filed under: Pangasianodon hypophthalmus (striped catfish)
Lineage: Eukaryota; Metazoa; Chordata; Actinopteri; Siluriformes; Pangasiidae
Description: tRNA-Glu
Source: RNAcentral